CCUCCCCAGAGUACGAAAAGCGAGGCUUGCGUACACAACAAACACCUUAUUUUGGGUUAACAACACACAGCUACCGGUUUUUGUUUUGAUAAAAUACUUUGGAAUUAGCGCGGGUUGGCUUCCUGCCUCCUAAGUAGCGUAAAAGCAGUUUGUAGCAUUCAGUUAGCAUGUUAGCUCGAUUCUGUCCAUAUCAUCAUUGUGAUUUAAGCCCUAAAAAGAUAUUGGAUGAAAAAUGAAGUGAAGAUACCAUAUUUCAGGUGUUCUUUCUCUUUUUUCCUUCUCUUUAUAGAGCCCCGCAUUGUGACAAAAAAAAAAGCAACCUCAAGAUCCUGUCUACGUGCCCACAUCCCUCCCAGGCCUGGAUUUCAGACGCAGUGGCGUGGAAGCGAUUUGAUGCCGUGCCGUCGCACGCUGUGCUGUGGAGGAAACGGCCCCCCUGACACCUUGGAGAUGCCGUGACCGAUCUCGCAGAUGUGACGCAUGACUACAGAAGAAACAACUGUCCAGAGGUAGCAAGCCCUGCAAAAAAACCCACUACAAAACGGAGUGGUAUUUUGCCACGCAGAUUCAGAGGCACACUGCAAUCUACAUUUUAUCAGGCAGGCCAGAUCUGAAGACGUCGGCCAAAGCUGUCAAAAGUUUGUCAUCGAUUCUCCUCGCCUUGUCAUCGCUCUUAUCUGAUCGUUCCGUGUUUCUGGCUGGAGCUUUUUCUCCUCUGUAGUGGAAACAAGUUAGAUUCCGAAAGCAUGUCCAUCCUGCUGUCUUGCUGAUUAUUUAUUUUUUUUAUACACGUUUCUAUGAGGGCUCUAUCUUGUAGUCAAGUAAUGCGAGGGUGGGUGAUAUCUCUAGCAAGGAUGUUCUCAAAACGACUCUACUGAUUUCUAUGAAAGGUAUGUGCAGUACACAGGCAUGUUACAUCAUACUAUUAUAUUAAAGGGUGGCGAAUGGAAUGAGGUAAUCUAAGUUUAAAUACAAAUUUCCCCAAAAUUAUGUCACCUCAUUCCUUAGUGCUAUUUAUAAAAAAAAAAAUAAUCA
This is a long non-coding RNA of Phyllopteryx taeniolatus (common seadragon), 1035 nucleotides long. RefSeq lists it as uncharacterized. The transcript is spliced from 4 exons. The record is from RefSeq and is a predicted model, not a curated record. NCBI's taxonomy places the organism in Eukaryota, Metazoa, Chordata, Actinopteri, Syngnathiformes, Syngnathidae.